AGGUCUGAGCCAGAAAUUCGAGGGCUGGAAGGCAGGAAAAGAAAAGAGCCGCUCGAGAGGAGCCCGGGAGUCUCAGCCUCCCGCGCCGGGAUCCGCUGGGCGCACAGAGCGCCACCUCCGGCCACGGCGCCGCACAGAGCGAUGCGGGGGAGCGACGCGAGGGAGGCCGAGGCCUGAGCGGGGCUGGACGGCGCCCCCGCCACCGAAGGGCGGUGCGCCGAGCUGGGUCCCUCCCGCCUGCCUAGGCAGGUGGGACCGCACCCUGGCGACGGGUCUCUAGAGGGGUGGAGAAGCCCCGGGAUCAGGGCUAGAGGGGUAACGAGCCGAGUGACCCCGCAGCUAGACGGGAGGCCAUUAAAGGCUAGGGACUGCAAGUGGCUGGGUGGGCUGAGGAAACAGAACCCCGCCGGCCCGAGCCCUCCACCCCACACCCCCAUCCGCCGGGCUAGGCCCCUGCCCCCGCCCUGGCUGCCCUCCGGCCAAAGGCAGUAAAGGCGCAACCCUCCAGGCGUUCUUUCAUCCUCGGCUCCUCAGGCUCCAGCAUUUCAAAGGCCGAGUCCAGUGGACCCUCGGGGGGGGUGGGCCUCAGCUUCCCCCAGAUUCCGGGGAGGAGGGGUGGGCCCCUCCUGGGAUUCCCAGGGGGCAGGGUCUCCCAGCGUUCAGCCCCCCAGCGCACGUGCCUCUCUCCCCUGUUAGCCUCACCUGCAGCCUCCCCCUCCCCCCAAAGCACGCACUGGGGGCUCAGAAUGAAGGAGGGCUGAGGCAGAGCUCGGGAAGCCUUGGUACUGUCCUUGUCCACCCAAGUAGACUUUCCAAUGCACUGGAGGGAGUCCACUGGAUGGUUUCCAGAAGGCAGCAAAGAGCACAUUGCUUGGACUCAGGCUGGAACCCUGGCGGAGCCCAUAGACUUCCUGAGAGUUGACUGCAUCACACCUGCUUGAGCGUGGAGUUCCUCACAGGCAGAGGGGACCUGAGGACCCACAUGUCUUUGGGGCUGAAGGACUUGGUUUGAUAGCCGGUGUUGGAAUGAGGAAAGGUCACAUUGUAUCGUAGGGGCCCUUCUGGCUCCAACCUCUGUACAGAGGCUGCUAGUUCCUGGGGAGGGGGGUUCCCAACAGCUUUGAGCAAGUGAUUCGCUCUGUGCCCCAUCCCAGCCUGGAAAUUCAGUGGCUCCCAGUUUGAGUUUGGGACAGAAAUGUGGGUUUGGGGCAGAAGAGAUCUGGGAACAUGGAAUGGGGGCAUCUUCUACCGGAGCCCAGGCCAAAGUUAGAGAGCAGGCGAGAUGGGGGUGGGGGGCCCGACGGAGGCAUCCUUCUAAUCGCUUGCGGCUAUUAAAAAUAAAACCUCGGCUCGUUGUCAUAGCGACCACGACAACAGCCGCUGCCCAGGGUGGCACAAACUUGUGCAGCCGGUGACAGCCGCUUUGGGGGGAGACUCAGGGCAGACUCACACUGGUCCACCAAGGCCUGCCCUGCCACCAAGGACAACCCGCCCCCACCCUCCCCCCUCCUCCGAAAAAGCCGGCAGAAGUAGAUCCCUAGGCGCUGUUUCCUAGACCUUGAAUCGACUUGAGCAAGAAUCACCAACCAGGACGGGAACCCACGCGUGCGGGGACUCCCCGGCCCUGGCGCAUCUCUCCGAGGCCCCUUCCCCUUUCAAAUCCCGGCGUCUUCAUCUCUGGGGAAGGGGCUGAGUGGGGAGGCGGUUUCAGAUGGAGGCUCGGCGGCGGGAGAGGGGACCCUGGGUCCCGAAGCCAGGCACGUGGGGGCUCCGGCACCUGCCCAGCCCGCCUGUCUUGCGAUCUGGCGGCUCAGGUGUGGUCACGUGCUCCUUUCUGCCCAGGAAUCGAGUUUCACUUCCAGCCGCUAUUAGGCGGUUCACACGGUUCACUGCAAACAUUUGAUAAAGAGGCUAAAUAUACUUUGGAGUCGGAGGAGGCGUGGGCGGCCUCGCAGAGCGCAAAGGCGGGGCUCCGCGGGGCAUCCCCGCCCAGGCCGAGAGUCCGGCUCGACCCCGACCAGUUCCCGGUUCCCGGUGCUCCCACCCCAACCGCCCCCCCCCCCCCCCCACACACACAGUUGGGAGCCCAGGCCCAGGACACGCGGCCCUGGCAGGCUGUGGGCGCCCCUUGGCAGCCAAAGGCCCCGAGGCGGAAGAAGGGGGCGCUGGGGGGAGCUCCAGGGAGGGUAAGUGCUGGUGGGAGGUGAAGGCGCACCUGGCAGCCCGGGAUGUCCGGUCGCCCCCGGAGCCGGUGCUUCCGGGCUAUCUCCAGCGUCCCCGGCGGCGCGCCCCGACGUGCCGCGGACCCAUAAUUAAGUGGGAGUCAUGACUAACGUCCACUGGACACCUCGGUUUCUGAGUGGCCCCUGGGGGUGGAGAGCUGCCCCACCACCCCUCUUACAGAUGCCAGGAAGUUGGGCACUGCCCACAGCCCCAGAGUGCAGCCCCGGACAGCCACUCCUGGGCCAGCUCUCCCAGUGCUGGGGGUGGGCGCCGUCUCAGGCCUUCUGGCCCCGCAGGUUUCAGGGGGGCACGAAGAAUAGUGCGGCCUCCUGGCAGUGAGGGCCUCAGGGCUGGAGCCCACACCUGCUUAAUCCCCGUCCCGAGGGGCGCUAGCUGCCUUCUGCCCCAUGACCUUGGCUUUGCUGGAGCGCUUUGUCCCUGCCCUGCCUUGCAUCUGAAGAGUAGGGGCCGGCAACCUUGCUGUGCACGGCUGUCUCCCACCACCCAGCCUCCUGCCCAGGGAGCCAAUCCCCGCGCACACACACCUGCAGGGCCUGGCACCCCAGGCUCAGGCACAGCUGCCUCCUCCUGGGUGGCCAGCUGGGCGUCCAGACCCAGGUCUCUGCCCACUGCCAAAGCAGAUCUCAAAACAAUUUGUCAUGAUGAAACACCACAUUUCCCUUUAUCUCUGGGCAAGGAUUUCUUGGUUCAGGGCAAUUAAUCCAGGAGCGGCCUCAGCUGAGUGGGCAGCUCUCCUUGAAGAUCAAAAGUGCCAGGCGGGUGUUAAUUAAGUCAUCAUCUCAGCCGCCCCAGGCCCCGGUUCAGGAUCAGGCCUUUCCAGUCCGGCCUCCCUAUGCUCAGUGCUGGUUUUAACUCCCUAUUAAAUAUUUUCCUUUUAAACACACAAACCGCAAUGAAGUUCUACAUAGCAUAUGGGCCUACAAUCAUUCUAUGAAUAUUUUUUGAAUGAAGACCUCUGGGAAGGGGCAUCUGGGGGCUUCAGGAAUCGAGGCCAGACCUGGUCUGUCUAGGAUGGGAGCCCCCUGCCACGAGAGGCCACUGGGCAUUUGAAACGUGGCUGCUAUGUGCUACUUAUGUAAAAUACACACAGCCUCCAAGACUUGGUAUGAAGAUAAAGAGUGUAAAAUUUUUCAUUAGUAAGUUUUACAUUAGUUACGUGCUGAAAUGAUCACAUUUUUGAUAUAUGAAUUCAAUAAACUGUAUUAUUGCAAUUAA
Bubalus bubalis (water buffalo) is the source of this 3459-nucleotide long non-coding RNA. RefSeq lists it as uncharacterized. The record is from RefSeq and is a predicted model, not a curated record. The transcript is spliced from 2 exons. Lineage: Eukaryota; Metazoa; Chordata; Mammalia; Artiodactyla; Bovidae.